This 200-nucleotide ribosomal RNA is filed under the name uncultured bacterium. Its description in RNAcentral is "partial 16S ribosomal RNA". It matches the Rfam family "Bacterial small subunit ribosomal RNA", at positions 524 to 723 of the family's 1533-position model. The record is from RNAcentral.
UACGUAGGGUGCAAGCGUUGUCCGGAAUUAUUGGGCGUAAAGAGCUCGUAGGCGGCUUGUCGCGUCGGCUGUGAAAACCUGGGGCUCAACCCCGGGCCUGCAGCCGAUACGGGCAAGCUAGAAUUCGGUAGGGGAGACUGGAAUUCCUGGUGUAGCGGUGAAAUGCGUAGAUAUGUGGAGGAAUACCGAUGGCGAAGGCA